AGUUUGGAGGGUUAAACCGCUAAGUUGCAAACUUAGUAUAGCGCAAGCCCAGUCUA
This 56-nucleotide transfer RNA is filed under the name Pallaseopsis kessleri. Its description in RNAcentral is "tRNA-Cys". The record is from RNAcentral. Lineage: Eukaryota; Metazoa; Arthropoda; Malacostraca; Amphipoda; Pallaseidae.